UACGUAGGUCCCGAGCGUUGUCCGGAUUUAUUGGGCGUAAAGCGAGCGCAGGUGGUUUAUUAAGUCUGGUGUAAAAGGCAGUGGCUCAACCAUUGUAUGCAUUGGAAACUGGUAGACUUGAGUGCAGGAGAGGAGAGUGGAAUUCCAUGUGUAGCGGUGAAAUGCGUAGAUAUAUGGAGGAACACCGGUGGCGAAAGCGGCUCUCUGGCCUGUAACUGACACUGAGGCUCGAAAGCGUGGGGAGCAAAAAGG
This 252-nucleotide ribosomal RNA is filed under the name uncultured bacterium. Its description in RNAcentral is "partial 16S ribosomal RNA". It matches the Rfam family "Bacterial small subunit ribosomal RNA", at positions 524 to 776 of the family's 1533-position model. The record is from RNAcentral.